This 358-nucleotide long non-coding RNA is filed under the name Olea europaea (common olive). RNAcentral's name for it is "long non-coding RNA (OEUR_LNC014057)". The record is from RNAcentral. Lineage: Eukaryota; Viridiplantae; Streptophyta; Magnoliopsida; Lamiales; Oleaceae.
CCCGCUCCCUAAGGCUAAGGGGGCCCCUCUCUGAUAAGGAAGGAUAAGAGCAAUCGGCCGAAUGAUUGUUAUUCCACUUACAGUUAGAGCGCCUCUAUCGAAGCAGAACAAGUCUAAGAAUCCAGCCCUGGUUUUCGGGAAUUCCAUUUCGAUCCAAAUAUCCGAAGUCAGUCUUGGAGCUGGUAGGGGCGGACAUACCAACCUAUCCACUGAAAGAUGAGAUGAAGGAGCAGAAGGGACAGCAUGACAGGGGGAAUAAUUUUGGAUUGAUGCGGGAGCUCUACUCACUGGGAUGACCAAAGGAGGUCCAUUCCAAGGAGGAAGGGGUUCUCUUCCGAAAUAGUUGACUGCAUGGNNN